UGUUAAAAAUUAUAUAUAUUUGUAUUGUUAAAAACUAAUGUAAUUUACAGAAUAAUCAGGUAGUAACAUGUGGCAUGCCGCUUAUACCUCAUGUUGAUAUACAUGGAUUAAUUUUUAACAGUAGAAAUAGGUAAAUUUUUUAAUA
This 145-nucleotide microRNA precursor is filed under the name Gossypium arboreum. Its description in RNAcentral is "MIR7502 microRNA precursor family". It matches the Rfam family "MIR7502 microRNA precursor family". The record is from Rfam by way of RNAcentral. Lineage: Eukaryota; Viridiplantae; Streptophyta; Magnoliopsida; Malvales; Malvaceae.